UACGUAGGGUGCAAGCGUUAAUCGGAAUUACUGGGCGUAAAGCGUGCGCAGGCGGUUAUGUAAGACAGUUGUGAAAUCCCCCGGGCUCAACCUGGGAAUUGCAUCUGUGACUGCAUAGCUAGAGUACGGUAGAGGGGGAUGGAAUUCCGCGUGUAGCAGUGAAAUGCGUAGAUAUGCGGAGGAACACCGAUGGCGAAGGCAAUCCCCUGGGCCUGCACUGACGCUCAUGCACGAAAGCGUGGGGAGCAACAGG
This 253-nucleotide ribosomal RNA is filed under the name uncultured bacterium. RNAcentral's name for it is "partial 16S ribosomal RNA". It matches the Rfam family "Bacterial small subunit ribosomal RNA", at positions 524 to 775 of the family's 1533-position model. The record is from RNAcentral.